Molecule: ribosomal RNA, 329 nt
Filed under: uncultured soil bacterium
Lineage: Bacteria
Description: bacterial SSU rRNA
Rfam family: Bacterial small subunit ribosomal RNA
Source: RNAcentral
AGAACGAACGCUGGCGGCGUGCCUAACACAUGCAAGUCGAGCGAGAAAGGGGAGCAAUCCCCGAGUAAAGCGGCAGACGGGUGAGUAACACGUGGGUAAUCUGCCCUCGAGUGGGGAAUAACAUCUCGAAAGAGGUGCUAAUACCGCAUAACAUCCUGGGGCCUCAGGUCUCUGGGAUCAAUGGUGGGGAUCUUCGGACCUACCGCUUGAGGAGGAGCCCGCGCCUGAUUAGCUAGUUGGUGGGGUAAUGGCCUACCAAGGCGACGAUCAGUAGCCGGCCUGAGAGGGUGAACGGCCACACUGGAACUGAGACACGGUCCAGACUCCUA